Molecule: ribosomal RNA, 466 nt
Filed under: uncultured bacterium
Lineage: Bacteria
Description: partial 16S ribosomal RNA
Rfam family: Bacterial small subunit ribosomal RNA
Source: RNAcentral
GAUGAACGCUGGCGGCGUGCUCAACACAUGCCAGUCGAACGAUGAAGCCCAGCUUGCUGGGUGGAUUAGUGGCGAACGGGUGAGUAACACGUGAGUAACCUGCCCUUAACUCUGGGAUAAGCCUGGGAAACUGGGUCUAAUACCGGAUAGGAGCGUCCACCGCAUGGUGGGUGUUGGAAAGAUUUAUCGGUUUUGGAUGGACUCGCGGCCUAUCAGCUUGUUGGUGAGGUAAUGGCUCACCAAGGCGACGACGGGUAGCCGGCCUGAGAGGGUGACCGGCCACACUGGGACUGAGACACGGCCCAGACUCCUACGGGAGGCAGCAGUGGGGAAUAUUGCACAAUGGGCGCAAGCCUGAUGCAGCGACGCCGCGUGAGGGAUGACGGCCUUCGGGUUGUAAACCUCUUUCAGUAGGGAAGAAGCGAAAGUGACGGUACCUGCAGAAGAAGCACCGGCUAACUACGUG